CCCAUCCAGAUCCCGCCGCCCCAACCCUCUCACCCUUCCCAUCCACAGGGAGCCCCGCCUUUUCCCGGCGAGUCGCACCGCCCCAACCCUCUCCCACCCUCAUCUCGUAGCUCCCCUUCCCUUCAUCAUGCUCGGGCUCCCUCCCUCUUCUGCGGCCUGGACCCAUGUGCUUGGCGGAGCCGUGGCGGGGGAGCUUUACCGGCUACGUCGUCGUGGGUUCACCGGAGUGAAACGCCGGACUUUUUCGGGAGAAGACGCUGUUGCGACGCCUCUCUGCCAUCACCGGUGCUGCCAUUUUCAUCGGGCGUCGUGUGCGACCCACAACAUUGGGGACACACCAGUUUCGUCGGUCGAUUCACACCCAACUCCAUCCCCGCUUCUUCCCUCGAGCCAGCGAUAGCUGUUCUAUUCCAUCCCCGUUUAAUUUUGAGUACUGGAGUCCAAGGCGAGCGCAACUAUGGCAGGGAAUGAGGUACAUUUUCCACUCCAUUCAGUAAACAAUUCUAUUUCUGUCACGCUCACUUUGCAGUUAGAUUAUUAUUUACAAUCUAAGUUUGAGUAGGUGCGUGGGAUGAAUCCAUCAAUUAUUGUAUUUGGCCUGCUCUCCCAAGCUGCUGCCUCGAGGUCGCCAUACUUCGCAAAAAUCAUGACGGUGCUGCGUUGUGCUCACCAUGCCCAGAAAUUGGGGGUCACGAGGAGGAAGACAAUGGCACGCACGAGGAAAUUAGAGACGGCGGUGGCACCAAACAUUACUUGAGCCUGAUCGUUUUUUUUUUGCUAGCUUAGCGUUUUGCUUUCAUAGGUUUGGAGCUCUAAAUUUAAGCUUUUCGUCUGAAUCUUCAUUUGAUCCACAGGCUUCUGAUCGUUCUGAACAAAUGCUUCAACUCUUUGUUGUUUCAUUUGAUUUUUGGAAGUUCAUUAGAUUUUGGUAAGUUGUUUGAUUUCCCUUAAUCGAUUUCUGAAUCUCCUCCCUUCUUUAGUGGAGCUCCCUGCAAGUGUUGUUUUAAUUCAUGGUUAAAUUCUAUUUUGGUGUUGGCUGUUGAGAAUAUCAGAUGAGACAAGCAAUGGAAUGGACUGUGUGGACAAUCACAGGAAUGGUGUUCCGUGGAUAGGUCAUGUGUUGGAGAGGGAACGACACGUUGCAGCAGCGAGAGGUCUUGCCUCUUUUCUGCUGUUCUUGCUUCUCCCCUAUGAUUUUUUAGUUGGUUGUCUUGGAGAGGAAACGACAAGCUGCAGCAGCCAGAGUAGUAGGAGAAGCAGCUUCAACUCCCACGGCAUGUUCUACAUUUUUCUGCACUGAUGUAUUUGUUAUGGUCCAACUGAAUUAGUUUUGACUGCAUCUUAUUCUCUGUAGUCUCUGAGAUUUGUUCUCUAGUUCAAACUGUGCGUCAACUGUUCAAAUGAAUGUCUUAAUUAAAAGAACACUGUUUGAUGGAAUGCCAGAAAAGAAUGCACGUCUUUUUCCUGGCUAAAAAUUCGUUCAGAGUGUUCUGUUUUUUCUAUCUGGUAAAUUUCAUUGGCCUCAGAGUUGAUUCCCUCUUUUAAUUCAUUUGGUGUGGUUUUCUAAAUGAAGAAGCAGAACCAUUUUGGUUGUUAUUCACUACUGCUCCUCAUGGUC
Molecule: long non-coding RNA, 1618 nt
Filed under: Triticum aestivum (bread wheat)
Lineage: Eukaryota; Viridiplantae; Streptophyta; Magnoliopsida; Poales; Poaceae
Description: long non-coding RNA (TAES_LNC006349)
Source: RNAcentral